This 303-nucleotide ribosomal RNA is filed under the name uncultured bacterium. RNAcentral describes it as "partial 16S ribosomal RNA". It matches the Rfam family "Bacterial small subunit ribosomal RNA", at positions 507 to 807 of the family's 1533-position model. The record is from RNAcentral.
AGCAGUCGCCGCGGUAAUACGUAGGUGGCAAGCGUUGUCCGGAAUUAUUGGGCGUAAAGGGCUCGCAGGCGGUUUCUUAAGUCUGAUGUGAAAGCCCCCGGCUCAACCGGGGAGGGUCAUUGGAAACUGGGAAACUUGAGUGCAGAAGAGGAGAGUGGAAUUCCACGUGUAGCGGUGAAGUGCGUAGAGAUGUGGAGGAACACCAGUGGCGAAGGCGACUCUCUGGUCUGUAACCGACGCUGAGGAGCGAAAGCGUGGGGAGCGAACAGGAUUAGAGACCCCAGUAGUCCCUGUCUCUUAUAC